This is a long non-coding RNA of Salvelinus sp. IW2-2015, 3957 nucleotides long. RefSeq lists it as uncharacterized. The record is from RefSeq and is a predicted model, not a curated record. NCBI's taxonomy places the organism in Eukaryota, Metazoa, Chordata, Actinopteri, Salmoniformes, Salmonidae.
UGUUUCACUGGCCCCCCCCCCCAAAAAAAGAGUAGGGCUCCUCUCCUUAAAUCGUUCACUUGAGUGGGUGGAUGGGUGGAUGAGGUGAAAGGGGGUGUGAUGAGUAUCCCUUGGCACUUGUGAGACUAAGCACCUUAAACUGAACUAAUGCACUUUAUUAUUAAGUUUGAAUAAUUUUUUUUAUGAAUACAGAAUCGGUGUGUGUGUGUGUGUGUGUGUGUGUGUGUGUGUGUGUGUGUGUGUAUUGAAUCUACACGCAAUGCCGUAUGUAUACACGUGAAAAUCUGAACUGGAAGGGUGAGGUGUAUGGUUGGUGGGAUAGGCUCACUGGGAGGGGGAACUCAAAGUUAGAGGGGACCUUUAUUUUGAAACCUUAUCAGAAAAACCAAUCCUUUCUUUAAAGACAAACACUGUUGUUUUUUUGUUUUUUUAAGACAAUACAUUUAUAUAAAAAGUAAAGCUAUUACAAAAAAAAUGGAUACAAAGAAAACUUGAAGAUUUGCACUUGUGUUAAAAAAAAGAAAGAUAAAAAAACAAAAACAAAUGAGGUUAGGUAUAGAGAUUAAUAUUUUGUGUGUGUGUGUGUGAGGGCCGCUGUGUAUCAGAAACACACUAGUCUGCACAAUGUAUAUAUUUUUUCCAUUGCUUACCAAGAUGUAUGUCAUUUGGUUCAAAUUAGAUAAUUUUUUUUAUUUUUCUUUCAUGAGUAGAACGUCUGUCCUCUUGUACAGAGGGACUUUCUUUGUAUACUUGUGUGUGAGACCGAGAGAGAGAGGGCAAUCCCACAACACAUCCGUUCUCUCACCAGCUCGUCAUCCCCAGAUAGACGUCGUAGAAAUACAUACAUUUGGGGAGGAGGAUUAUGGCUUUAUGUUGUUGACCACCACUUGUUAAUUAAAAAAAAGAAUCUGGGUGAUUUUGGAGUAUGGGCUAUACCCCUCCCCUGCUGUCUUCUCUCAGCCACGGUCUCUGAGCCUCUGUGAGGUUUCAAACAGACAGUGGUAAGGAUCUUUAGUGUGUGUGUACGCCUGUUUCUUUACUAAUCAUAGGAAAGAAGUGAUCCCUACAGGUACUCAUCUCUGUGUGUGUAUAUGCAUGCACAUUUUUGCCUUAGAACUCUGAAAGGGUGAAUGGGAGGGAAUGUUCAGUGGCCAUUGAGACAUUAACUACUUUGAGUGUACUGUUAUGUUAAAGGAGAAUUUAACUAUUUUUAGGGACCUAAUCUUUAUUUUUGAUGUAAAUGGGAUGUUAUAGAAAGGGUCCAGACGACAUAUUUUUUUUUUUUGCAAUUUCAUUUGGUUUUGAGAAACUUACCCAGAAGCGAUCGACUUCCUGAGCCUCAUUCUGGAGUUCCAGGGCAUCCAAGAACAUGAGAGCUUUGCUGUUUGUAAAAGGGUGUUUUUGGAGCCCGUUUCAUGGUUUUUGGGUGCCCCGGAACUCCAGGCUCGAGAAGUCAAUCCCUGCCGGAGUACAUUUUUCAAAACCAAGUGAAAUUGCAAAAAGAAGGGUCUGUAAACCUUGUAUAACAUGCCAUUUACAUGCAAAAUAAAGAUGAGGUUCUUAAUGAAAUUCUCUUAAGCGCUCUGCACAGUCAAUGUGCAUGUCAGUCAUGUAUCCUAAUAUUUCUAGUAUAGCCUGGGGAUGAUGAUGAUUCUUCUUUGGAAGGUUAGUCCGGUUUAGCUUUCCUGGGACGUGAUCACGUUGCCUUGUUGGUUUUCUUUAACUUGCGUGUGAAAGGUGUUGAGUUUCAGAUUCUGCUCAAAACAAUUGGCAUCAAACUGUCUGUAUACAGGACGGUGCACAACAUGUUAGCAUAUUCGUGUUACUUAUUGUUGUUGCUAUUGAUAAUGAUGCUGGUGACGUUUCUUUUUUUGAAUGAAUAUAAAUGAACAUUUAUAUAUGAAUAUAUAUAUAUAUAUAUAUAUACACAAAGAAAAAAAAAGAUUUGGACAAAGAUUACGAUGAGCACUUGGGGCUGCUUUUUUUCUCUUUGUUUUUGUUUCAUUACCGCCAUGUGAAGUGCGUUUUAUUUCUUUCUUAAGAAAACAUUGAAUGUAUUCCCCUCCCCCCAAAAAAGACAAAACGUGAUGAUACCGGAUAUAAUUUCAACAACAAAAAAACUCAGAUUGAAGAGGUCUUUCCCCUUUUCUUUUUUACUCAGAGGAAGAACUCGGGAUGGCUACAGUUAAUCCUACUGCCUCUGCAAUCCUGUUCUUACAAAAACAAUAUUACUAUGAGAAAUAAAAUAGACUAUUUUCUAUUCCUUACUGGAUUUUUGGUUGUUUACAAAACGGAUUUCUGUGGGUGCAUUUUUUUUUUGUGUAGGAGUGGGGUUUUGCGAGUGUGCUUCUGCAAUAUGGACAUUCAUUGGCGUACAUUGUUUUUGGCGGGAGGAGGAGUGACAUCACAAUGUGACGGACAAGAUCCUUGCCCUUUGACCCUUUAGUGGGCAUGGCUCUUUGGAACUGACUGAUCCUCAAUGAGCGCAGGAGAAAGAAAUCAACAACAAAGUUAGUCUGUUUUUUUUUUMGMMMMGGGGGGAGUUCAUUAUUAGUGUGUCUUCUGGUUCCAUUUAGUUACUUUUUUGUUGUUGAACUGCCUAUCUUAACUAGACAAGGACUGAAAGGAGUAUAAAGCUUAAUCAAAAAGCAGAGCACAGCGGAGGUGUUUUUGGUACUUCGACCAUGCAUAAAGGAAACAACAAUAUCAUCGCUUUAAUAGGAGAAAAAAUGCCCUGGAGGGAAAUUGUGGAGUUUCAAUUUUUUUUAUCCACCAACCUAAAAGAGACAGAUGGACAAACCUUUGAGGGGUGGAUGAGAAUAAAGGAAAUUUGAAGAUUUUGUAAAACUGUACAUACAUGAUGUUGACCUCAAAUCUACCAUUGCAUUUGAUUGGACUGUGUCGGCAGCAUUUCUUACUUUUUGUCAUUCUACUUUUUUUUUAAGGGGGCUCAGGGUGUGCAGUGGGAGUGUAUUAACCCUGCAAUGAGGGGAAAUGAAAGGGUACCAGUACUGAUCCCUGGGGGGCACCCCUCAACACGCACACCCUGCCCUGACACUCACUAUGCACUUUCAAACUGUGAGGUUCCAUUACAUUUGGGACGGGAACACAGAAAUAUUAUAGUACAAAGGGAGGGUUGGAAAAUGUAACUUUUUUUUAGUUAAUACCGUCUCACUGAAAACAAGAGAUUCAAACCGAAACGAAAGACUUAGGAACACACCUUCCUCCUCCUGUACAUAACCAUAUUUUUGUAUUACCUUUUUUAGAAAAUCACUUGGACAAAACUACAAGGCUUGAUAUAAAAACAAACAGAUGAAAGAAAUACAUMACAGAUUUACAGAGUGAAUGUUCCUCAAGGAAACUUUUUGUUCCUCAUGUCGCUUUUUAUUUUAUUUUUAAUACUGAGGUAAAUUAARUACCUGGAAGUUCCCUUGACUUUGCCAGUGGCCCUGUCUAUCAUCAGGGAUGGCGAAAAAAAGGACUUAACAUGGAUGGAGCUGCGGACUGCAAGUACUCCCGAGACUGAUUGGUGAACGUCUGUCAUCAAAAUGGACUCCGCUGCAGAGCCCAGCCCAGGGUGUUUGAACAACAGUCACCAACCAAUGGAGAAGGCAGGGGAGAAACGACACAUACGGAUGGAUGUACCGGGAGACCUUCUGCCCAGAUGCCCCCCCGCCUUCUGCCACCUAGCCACUGCCUGGAGAUCAACUACAAGGUGACUGCAAGAAGAGAACCAUCAAAUAGYAUUCUCACUUCCUAGCUGCCCUCUGUUGGAAAGGAGAUGGAGCGUACUGUACCUUCAAACCUUUCUUUUCCUCUUCUCUCUGCCCCCUGGUGGGAGAAGUGCCAAGCAGAAACCACAGCAGCCGAAGAAGCAGAGGAACUUGAACAGUGGACUACACACAAACUUAGAGCUUUACUCAUGUGUACAGUACAUGCAGCUGGAUUCUGGUAAAA